UCUUUGGCUCUUAUGGUCAAUAAAAGGCAAAAAAGGGCCAAUAUUUUUGCCUUUUAUUUGGAACACCAACAUUCUUUCCUCUCUGGCUCAUUGAAGAAGAGCUCAAGAGGGCUUUCCUUAACUUGAUUUUCCACUAGAUUUCUCAUUGUAUCCCCACAUUCCUCAACAUGAUUCAAAGAUUAUUCACUAAAUAAACUAAAUUUUAUUUAUUUAUUUGGUUUCAAGAUUUAUUUAUACCGAGAGUUAUUAGGUGUUAAAAGUAUUAAUAAGUUGCAUUUUUCAGUAUAUGCUAGCUAUACUAUUGAUUUGAGUCAUCAUGCUAAUUUUUUAUUAAUGCUGGCUGUGACCUUGCUCUUUUGCCACUGACAGCCCACUUGCAUGACCACAUCUGUGACUGCAAUAUGAAAUCAUGUUGGAAACAUGACAACCACUAAGGCUUUACCCAAAAAUAUGCACAUCGAGGAAUUAAGUAGAGAAAAAAUAAUAUUAUUGAACAUGAUAUCUUCAAUUCUUUAAAGAACUGGAGAAUAUUUUGACGACUGUGCAAAGGAAAUACAAUGUUGCAACAAAAUAAAUAUUAUUAGGUGCCCAGGAUCUCUAUGAUGGGCCCAUUCCUAAUCCAACAUCAUAACCUAACACACAGACUCCGAGUUUCUAAAGAGUCAAAGCAUUCUGAUAUGAUACUUUAUUUAAAUCGCACACAUGCACACACUAAAACCUUCAUUUUUAUUUUUUCCUUAAUUUGCCAACCAGUUUUACACUGAUAUAGGCCCCAUCUAAUAAAGACAAUGAAAUCCAUCAAACUUCCCCAAGUAAGGUUAAGUAAAUAUGCACGAUAAAGCAUCUUGGAAGAAUCUACUAGGAAAUGAAAUAUGUGACAGUUGAUAAUAGAUUAAGCUUGUAUAAAAAUUUCAAAUACCAUAUAUUCAUUGCUGUGAUUUGGAAAUCUGAGCACCCCUGAUGGACUUGUAUUGUUUGAUGAAGAACAAUCUUGGGUUCCUUCUUGACAAAGCUCGACAUCAAGCCAUGAAUCUUUCACCUGUUUGGGCAAUGAAGGAUUGUCCAGAAAAGAGUACUCUCUGAUACCGAUACCAGGGCCAAACUCCUCCUCUGGCAGCUGUUUUAACAUCACAUUGACCUCAAAAACAUGGUCCAAAGGGCAGAUAAAAGGUUGCCUAGUCAUAGUUCCUUUUAGAACUCCGGGAUGGGGAAACCAUAGCCUAUCCAAUCUGCACCAUAAUGGAGGCAUGACCAGUGUACGAUUUAACAAGGAAGCAAUUGCAAGCGCUGACCUUAUUUGUUUAAUCUGGUAAUUAACCAGGGAAAAGUGGGAUUCAAGAUUGUGUUCCCCAUCUAGUAACAGACUCUUUGGAAUAGAUGGCUUAAAUGACAAAAAACCCCCUGGCGCAUCAUAGUAAUCUGGUGGAUCAUAAAAAACCAUGGCUUCCCGCAACCGGUGGCGCUUUCCUUCAGUACCUGCAUACUGGAAUGUGGUAUGCACAGCAUACGGCUCCAAUCUGAGUUGUUGAUACAUGGCCUGGACAAAGUAGGUAUGUCCGCUACAAAAUAUACUUGCUGGUAAAAUUCCCAGCUUGAGAUUUCCAUCAAAAGCAUAUACAAGUCCAUUGUCACCUUCAACAGCUGGUCCUAACUGCCUGCGCACAAUAUCAUUGAACCCAUUCUGAUCCCAAAUCUUGUCAUCAGCAAGAAGCAUAUCUUUCCACUCUUUUGCCAACUUU
Molecule: unclassified non-coding RNA, 1739 nt
Filed under: Hevea brasiliensis (rubber tree)
Lineage: Eukaryota; Viridiplantae; Streptophyta; Magnoliopsida; Malpighiales; Euphorbiaceae
Source: RNAcentral